Molecule: transfer RNA, 82 nt
Filed under: Mycolicibacterium goodii
Lineage: Bacteria; Bacillati; Actinomycetota; Actinomycetes; Mycobacteriales; Mycobacteriaceae
Description: tRNA-Tyr
Source: RNAcentral
GCAGCUAGACCGUGCGUCGGUAUUCUGCGGACUGUAAAUCCGUCGGCUUACGCCUACGCAGGUUCGAAUCCUGCACCUGCCA